ACCGGGUGCGGUGGCAUGUGCCUGUAAUCCAAGUCACUGGGAGGCUGAGGUUGGUGGAUCAAGUGAGCUGAGGAGCUCUGGGCUGCAGCACGCUAUGUCGAACGGGUGUCCACGCUAAGUUCGGUAUCGAUAUGGUGUUCCUGGGGGAGCCCGGGACCACCAGGUUGUCUAAGGAGGGGUGAACCGGCCCAGGUCGGAAACGAAGCAGGUCAAAUCCCCCGUGCUGUCCAGUAGUGGGAUACUACCUGUGAGUAGAUGCUGCAGUGCAGCCUUGGCAAAACAUCGAUACCCAGUCUUUU
This is an unclassified non-coding RNA of Oncorhynchus mykiss (rainbow trout), 299 nucleotides long. It matches the Rfam family "Metazoan signal recognition particle RNA". From Rfam's summary of the family: The signal recognition particle (SRP) is a universally conserved ribonucleoprotein. Lineage: Eukaryota; Metazoa; Chordata; Actinopteri; Salmoniformes; Salmonidae. The record is from Ensembl.